RNAcentral lists this ribosomal RNA (790 nucleotides) under uncultured bacterium. RNAcentral describes it as "bacterial SSU rRNA". It matches the Rfam family "Bacterial small subunit ribosomal RNA", at positions 27 to 812 of the family's 1533-position model. The record is from RNAcentral.
GGAUGAACGCUAGCGGCAGGCUUAAUACAUGCAAGUCGAACGGGAUUCGGGGUAGCAAUACUUUGAUGAGAGUGGCGCACGGGUGCGUAACGCGUAUGCAACCUACCUUUAACAGGGGAAUAGCCCCGAGAAAUCGGGAUUAAUACUCCGUAACAUUGCGGUGUGGCAUCACACUGCACUUAAAGCUGAGGCGGUUAAAGAUGGGCAUGCGUGACAUUAGCUAGUUGGUGAGGUAACGGCUCACCAAGGCAACGAUGUCUAGGGGUCCUGAGAGGGUUAUCCCCCACACUGGUACUGAGACACGGACCAGACUCCUACGGGAGGCAGCAGUAAGGAAUAUUGGUCAAUGGGCGCAAGCCUGAACCAGCCAUGCCGCGUGCAGGAAGACGGCCCUAUGGGUUGUAAACUGCUUUUGUCAGGGAAUAAACCCCCGCUCGUGAGCGGGGCUGAAGGUACCUGAAGAAUAAGCAUCGGCUAACUCCGUGCCAGCAGCCGCGGUAAUACGGAGGAUGCAAGCGUUAUCCGGAUUCAUUGGGUUUAAAGGGUGCGCAGGCGGAUUGGUAAGUCAGGGGUGAAAUCCCACAGCUCAACUGUGGAACUGCCUUUGAUACUGUCAGUCUAGAGUAUAGUUGAAGUUGGCGGAAUGUGUCAUGUAGCGGUGAAAUGCUUAGAUAUGACACAGAACACCGAUCGCGAAAGCAGCUAGCUAAGCUAUAACUGACGCUCAUGCACGAAAGCGUGGGGAUCAAGCAGGAUUAGAUACCCUGGUAGUCCACGCUGUAAACGAUGA